CCUACGGGGGGCAGCAGUGGAGAAUAUUGGACAAUGGGGGCAACCCUGAUCCAGCCAUGCCGCGUGUGUGAAGAAGGCCCUCGGGUUGUAAAGCACUUUCAGUGAGGAAGAACGCCUGGUGGUUAAUACCCAUCAGGAAAGACAUCACUCACAGAAGAAGCACCGGCUAACUCCGUGCCAGCAGCCGCGGUAAUACGGAGGGUGCGAGCGUUAAUCGGAAUUACUGGGCGUAAAGCGCGCGUAGGUGGCUUGAUAAGCCGGUUGUGAAAGCCCCGGGCUCAACCUGGGAACGGCAUCCGGAACUGUCAAGCUAGAGUGCAGGAGAGGAAGGUAGAAUUCCCGGUGUAGCGGUGAAAUGCGUAGAGAUCGGGAGGAAUACCAGUGGCGAAGGCGGCCUUCUGGACUGACACUGACACUGAGGUGCGAAAGCGUGGGUAGCAAACAGGAUUAGAUACCCUGGUAGUC
RNAcentral lists this ribosomal RNA (465 nucleotides) under Vreelandella stevensii. RNAcentral's name for it is "partial 16S ribosomal RNA". It matches the Rfam family "Bacterial small subunit ribosomal RNA", at positions 338 to 795 of the family's 1533-position model. The record is from RNAcentral. Lineage: Bacteria; Pseudomonadati; Pseudomonadota; Gammaproteobacteria; Oceanospirillales; Halomonadaceae.